RNAcentral lists this microRNA precursor (89 nucleotides) under Canis lupus familiaris (dog). Its description in RNAcentral is "mir-8799 microRNA precursor family". It matches the Rfam family "mir-8799 microRNA precursor family". The record is from Rfam by way of RNAcentral. Lineage: Eukaryota; Metazoa; Chordata; Mammalia; Carnivora; Canidae.
CGGGGGAGGCCGGGUCCUGGGCUGUGUCCCGGCGCCCUGUGUUCCGGGGCCUGCGCUGUUGGAUUCGCGCUCCCGCCCCGCAGCCCCCU